Molecule: ribosomal RNA, 257 nt
Filed under: uncultured bacterium
Lineage: Bacteria
Description: partial 16S ribosomal RNA
Rfam family: Bacterial small subunit ribosomal RNA
Source: RNAcentral
CGAAGGGGGCUAGCGUUGCUCGGAAUCACUGGGCGUAAAGGGCGCGUAGGCGGCCCUGUUGGUCGGGCGUGAAAUCCCUGGGCUCAACCCGGGGGCUGCGCCCGAAACGGCGGGGCUAGAGGAUGGAAGAGGCUCGCGGAAUUCCCAGUGUAGAGGUGAAAUUCGUAGACUAUUGGGGAAGAACACCCGGUGGCGAAGGCGGCGAGCUGGUCCAUUACUGACGCUGAGGCGCGACAGCGUGGGGAGCAAACAGGAUU